GAGGGGCUCGCGGCCUAUCAGCUAGUUGGCGGGGUAACGGCCCACCAAGGCUAUGACGGGUAGCUGGUCUGAGAGGACGACCAGCCACACGGGGACUGAGACACGGCCCCGACUCCUACGGGAGGCAGCAGUGGGGAAUUUUCCGCAAUGGGCGAAAGCCUGACGGAGUGACGCCGCGUGUGGGACGAAGGCCUUCGGGUCGUAAACCACUGUCAGUGGGAAAGAUGGGUGUCGGCGCGAUAACCGCCGGCAUCUGACGGUACCUGCAGAGGAAGCCCCGGCCAACUCUGUGCCAGCAGCCGCGGUAAGACAGAGGGGGCAAGCGUUGCUCGGAUUUACUGGGCGUAAAAGGCGCGUAGGCGGCCAGCACAAGUCGGUUGUGAAAUCUCCGGGCUUAACUCGGAAAGGUCAACCGAUACUGUGCGGCUAGAGUGCAGAAGGGGCAACUGGAAUUCUCGGUGUAGCGGUGAAAUGCGUAGAUAUCGAGAGG
RNAcentral lists this ribosomal RNA (490 nucleotides) under uncultured Verrucomicrobiota bacterium. RNAcentral describes it as "bacterial SSU rRNA". It matches the Rfam family "Bacterial small subunit ribosomal RNA", at positions 224 to 704 of the family's 1533-position model. Lineage: Bacteria; Pseudomonadati; Verrucomicrobiota. The record is from RNAcentral.